RNAcentral lists this ribosomal RNA (520 nucleotides) under Hydrobiomorpha sp. SLE0071. RNAcentral describes it as "partial 16S ribosomal RNA". It matches the Rfam family "Bacterial large subunit ribosomal RNA", at positions 1819 to 2605 of the family's 2925-position model. The record is from RNAcentral. Lineage: Eukaryota; Metazoa; Arthropoda; Insecta; Coleoptera; Hydrophilidae.
GGCUUUUUGAUAAUGAUUUAAAGUCUAACCUGCCCAAUGAUUGAUUUGAAUGGCCGCAGUAUUUUGACUGUGCAAAGGUAGCAUAAUCAAUAGUUUCUUUAUUGGGAACUGGAAUGAAUGGUUGGAUGAGGGAAAAACUGUCUUUUUUUAAUUUUAUUAGAAAUUUAUUUUUAAGUUAAAAAGCUUAAAUUUGAUUUAAAGACGAGAAGACCCUAUAGAAUUUUAUAGUUUGAUUUUUUAUUAUUUUUAGGUAUUUACUUAUAAUUGAGGAUUAAAUUUUUUGAUUGGGGUGAUUGGAAAAUUGACUGAACUUUUCUUUUGUUGGAUACAUUGAUUUAUGAUUCAUUUUGAUCCGGAUUUUUUGAUUAGAAGAUUAAAUUACCUUAGGGAUAACAGCGUAAUUUUUUUAGAGAGUUCUUAUCGAUAAAAAAGUUUGCGACCUCGAUGUUGGAUUAAAAUUUAUAACUGGUGCAGAAGCUAGUUUAUUAGGUCUGUUCGACCUUUGAAAUUUUACGUGAUC